Molecule: long non-coding RNA, 5143 nt
Filed under: Salmo salar (Atlantic salmon)
Lineage: Eukaryota; Metazoa; Chordata; Actinopteri; Salmoniformes; Salmonidae
Description: lncRNA (ENSSSAG00000114690.1, ENSSSAG00000119304.1)
Source: RNAcentral
CCUUACUUGACACUAAAAGGUUGUAUUCUAUACCAAUUUGUUUGAUAAAAAUAAAAAUAAAAACCAACUUCUGUCUGCAGCUGUACCCCUUCUAGCCAAGACCAAAUCGCAUGACGACAGGAUAACGAAUUUGACAUCACUUCCGUCUGUACUUCGUCGGGCCACAACCCUCUGACGUCGACUUCAAAACACUUCCAGAGCUUCUCUACCGAGACAGAUGUAACACGAUGUGCUGAUGAGACUGCAAUCCUUGGCCCUGAAAAUGGACGUAAUGAUAUCUGCACAAGGUAUGAACCUGAUAUGGGCAUCGUCUAUCCUCAACAUGUCCAGGCGGACACCUUCACAUCUCAGACAGAUAUAACAAUGGGCCAAUCCUUAAUAAUGCCCACUGUAGAAGAAGCAUUGAGGGACCUCUACCCCAUCUGUAAGGAAAAAGGACUUGACAUUGUUGUGAAAUCAAAAUAUGGGAAAGCUGAGAAACUUGACUUGCAUCUAUUGACCAGAGAUGUAAUGUUUGAAUUGGCUGAUUUUGCCUCACAAGUGUGUGGAAAUUGGAAGCAGAUUGUGUGUGAGGUUCUCGAGCAUAAUUUUGAUUUGGAUUUAAAAAGUGGUAAAACUGAGCUGGCUGAAGAUAUUAUGGGAAGGUUAAGAGCAGUUUUGCAGCGCAAGACGGGUAAAAACGGUACAUGGAGAUGGGAACUUGAAAAUGAAGCUUUCUUCUUAAAGAAGUCACGCAAACGAAAGAAUCCUGCAGAGAUGUCCAGUAACCAGAAGGUCACUACAGCAUCACUUGAGCCAAAAUACCAAAUGAAAGAAGUAUCAAAAAGAAGGAGAUUGAAUUUAAUGAGGAAGAAGAAAGACAUGGACAUGUUUGUAACCAAGGAGACUGAGGGAGGCCAUUUUUUUGAAGUCAUACAAAUAGAACCUCAUUGUGUCAAAACAGAGAGAAUCUCUGAUGACACUGACCUUGCACUUUGUACUGAUGAAACAAAGCAAAUUGGUAACAACAAUGUAGACCAAUCAAAUGUGACGUCUCACACCAAAAAAAUGGUGAAAGCCGAAGCGUGCUACCCACUCUGUGAGGAAAUAGGCGUGGACCUUGAUGUUGCAUCCAAACCUUCUAAAAAUAAACUGGAAUUUCACUUACUGACAAACGGUGUAAUAUUUGAGGUGUAUAAAUAUGCUAAGAUAAAAUCCUAUCAUAAAAAAGAAAAAAGAUUUGGCUAUAUUCUCUUUGAUAUUCUAAAAUAUAAUUUUGAUCUUAGUUUGCAAAAUCAGAGACGUAAUCUAUUUCAACUGCGUAUUAACUGUAAAGUGAAAAGAAUGGUUCAGAAACACAAACCUGAGCUCUUGGGAAAAGGAGAAAUCUCUAAAGAAGUGUUCAUACUACCGAGUGUGAUUAAAAGCCAAGCAAAAAAAAAAACUGUGCUUUCAGAUUAUUUUCCUGAAAAAAAUAUAGAACAAGAUGCAAGGCUGGUUUAUCCUCAUCAUAGUAAAGACACUAUCGCUGUGGAGACAGUUGAAACAAUCUCCACUGAUGAAGCAGUAAUGCUUGGCCAGGAUAAUGGACCUGCUGACAUCUGCAUAAAGGAGGAGUCUGAUCUUCACUCUGAGGUCAAACUGGUUUAUUUCUGCAAAGACCAAGAAACUGUCAGAACAUCUGAAGAGCAUUUGAUCAAAGAUGGAUCAUGGCAUGGAUCAACACCCAGUAAUAUUCUGACUGGAAAUGUAUUCAGCCUUCCACAGUCGCCACUACCAGCUGCAGAAAGUGGUCCUUUCGGAAGUAAAAUCAAGUCAACAUCACAGAUAUAACCAGAAGGUCCCUGCAGCAUCACUUGAGCCAAAAUACCAUAGGCUCACAGAAGUAACAGGGGGAAAAAAGGGAUUUAAUGAGGAUAAAUAAAUGUUUAUAGCCAAGAAGGAAAAGAAAGUUGUCAGACAAGUAGAACCUCAUUGAGAUGAGAUGGAGAGCAUCUGCCAAGGAAAAGAAAAGCACUUCCUGACUGAGCUCUCAGGGAAAAGAAAAGCACUUCCUGACUGAGCUCUCAGGGAAAAGAAAAGCACUUCCUGACUGAGAUCUCAGGGAAAAGAAAAGCACUUCCUGACUGAGCUCUCAGGGAAAAGAAAAGCACUUCCUGACAGAUCUCAGGGAAAAGAAAAGCACUUCCUGACUGAGAUCUCAGGGAAAAGAAAAGCACUUCCUGACUGAGCUCUCAGGGAAAAGAAAAGCACUUCCUGACUGAGAUCUCAGGGAAAAGAAAAGCACUUCCUGACUGAGCUCUCAGGGAAAAGAAAAGCACUUCCUGACUGAGCUCUCAGGGAAAAGAAAAGCACUUCCUGACUGAGCUCUCAGGGAAAAGAAAAGCACUUCCUGACUGAGAUCUCAGGGGAAAAAAAGAUGCAAGAUGGAAAGAAAAGUCUGAUCUGCUCCCUAGGGAAAAGCCAGUUUCUUAUUUGCCUGGGGGAAAAAAAGAUUGAUAUUGUUAUAUGUGAUGAAGUGCAACACGAGGUGGAUUCUUACUGAACUUUCAAAAUGCUUUGUAGUUGAGACUGGUUCUGAGAAGAAAUGCUAACAAAUCCUUGCUGAAUACAGAUCAGACAUCCUAGGAUUUGGGGGCUAUUAUAUUGGUCUUUUGGAUCAUACUUGGAAUGUGAAAAGGUUCCUAAUGUUAGUUUUAGGUCUCCCUGAAGUCCGUAGACUUCCAUUCUAUUACUCACCCUAGAACAGUCAACAAGCCUAACACGGAUGUGUAUUCAUUAGGCAUACUGUAGCUAAAUGUUUAAUGGGGAGUCAACAAGCCUAACACAGAUGUGUAUUCAUUAGGCAUACUGUAGCUAAAUGUUUCAUGGGUAGUCAACAAGCCUAACACAGAUGUGUAUUCAUUAGGCAUACUGUAGCUAAAUGUUUAAUGGGGAGUCAACAAGCCUAACACAGAUGUGUAUUCAUUAGGCAUACUGUAGCUAAAUGUUUCAUGGGGAGUCAACAAGCCUAACACAGAUGUGUAUUCAUUAGGCAUACUGUAGCUAAAUGUUUAAUGGGUAGUCAACAAGCCUAACACAGAUGUGUAUUCAUUAGGCAUACUGUAGCUAAAUGUUUCAUGGGGAGUCAACAAACCUAACACAGAUGUGUAUUCAUUAGGCAUACUGUAGCUAAAUGUUUCAUGGGGAGUCAACAAGCCUAACACAGAUGUGUAUUCAUUAGGCAUACUGUAGCUAAAUGUUUCAUGGGGAGGCUACACUAACGCUUCUUGGACCAAUUCAGAAAUUGGUACACAAGGAGUAGCCUAGUCUUUUUAGGAUUAAGUGAAAAUAGGGAGACAAUAUAUUUUAAACGUAUUCGUAUUAAGGGUUUUAGUCUUUUGAAUAGUGGAUUUUUGCAGAUUGCCUUGGCCUUCCUUCCUGUUUAACUGUUGAUGUCUGGUCUCGCUGUAGAGAAUGAAUACAGCAGGAUUAUUGCGAGACUUAUUUUUUUUCUCUUAACUAUUUUACACCGUAUUCAUUGAUGAGACAAACUCGACUACUUUUACAAGCCUCUAUAUAGAAGAAAACUUCUGAUCUUUUUUUGUUUAGAAAUAAAAAGACAAACAGAUAUAUUUUAUUUUGUAAGAGUAUGCAUUAGUGAAAUAACCUACUAUGAUGGGUCAUGUUUUUAUCUUUUUUUUUUAUCAGUGGGCUAUUUUGAUUUUUUUUUUUUUGCCCUUUUUUUGUGGAAAGGUUAAGAGACUGCAUCAAGACCUGCCUUACUGUUACCCACAUGUUCCUGUUUUGAACAUGGAGCUAUUCUACCGUAAACUAAGAUUUUUUUAAUUUUUUUUAAGGAUACUUCCACUGACAUUCUUAGAGGUGUCAUUUUAUUGUGAGGAACUGCAUUUCGAUCAGAAUAGUUUUUCUGUUUUGUCCUCUGUUUUUGUGAGUGACUCAGUCACUCGUCUCAGUGCACAAGUCUCCCCUUUCUCCAGACAUGGCGUAUGAAUCAGAAUCCGUAGCUAGUUAUGACACGUGAGCUUCUGGAUGAAAAGCAGAGUAUCCCUAAAGCAGCGUGGUCGUAUCAUCCCUUCUCCAUGUUGGACUAAACACUUUCAACUCUACACAAGUGAAAACCCCAAAUCCCUAAAGUGGUGGAGAAGGAGGCCACCUACAGAAUGUUAGGAGCAGUGGCUUGUUCCCAGGAGACCAACACUUGAGGACGCAACUUCUGUCAUGAUGACGAGGUGGCAUCUCCGCUGAUCCUCUAUUUGCCAUACUAGAGGGACAUGAAGUCUGACUCCAUCUUCAACAUGUGGACCUGCCCUGAUGAUGUUGGACACCACUGUUACACCUUCAGCCAUGUUGAUUUCCUGUCAGACUGGGUUUUUUAUUUUUUACUCCUUUCCAUGGACGGACUGACCUUUUACCAGAACAGGAAUACAAUGUUUAUCAGACCCUCCUCACCAGUGGACUAACUACUCAAACUGGUCGUGAAGUCACAGGAAAUAGACUGAUCUGUUAGGAGGGAUGCAGCAUUCUAAUCCUGGUUAGAUUAUAGUUAUAAGGAGAGUUCAGGUAGUAACCAGUACAUUGAGAUAAAUGUAGAUGUCCACACUCUGGACAAUAUAAAAGGCUUUGGAGAGGGACCACGUUUUCAGGAGAAGGAUAACAGGACCUUGUCCAGAAACAACCCCCAGCUCUGUAUGCAACUGUAUGCACAAUUCCCUGAUUCUAUUAAAUAAUGUAUUACAUUGCCUUUAUAAAAUUUCCUGUACACAUCACAUUUUAGAAAUUCAAUGGUCAUGAAAUUAUUAUUAUUUUUUCCGCAUUUACACUGUUUGGCCUUUUGUCGUGGAAUUGUUUGUGUGCAUCUUAAGAGUGGAAACCCUGUGUAUAGAUCUGAAAUGAUUCGCUCUUUAAACAUUUCAUCUAGCCUAUCAGUGGGUACGUUUUGUCACUUUUGCUUUGUUAUACCACAAUCUUUGAGUUUUACAUUAAUUCUAGUCUGGCAACAGGUUCUCUGGGUUUAAAUAAAAUGAGGUUUCCUAGGGUCUCAGAUGUAGAUAAAUCCUAAAAAUCAUGUUCAAUGGAGACUCACCGUUGAAAGUGUUUUUACAGGCCUGCUACACUGGACAGUAUUGUAGCAGGGCAUUAGAGGCUCUUACUUAAACCCGGC